This 361-nucleotide long non-coding RNA is filed under the name Mustela putorius furo (domestic ferret). Its description in RNAcentral is "lncRNA (ENSMPUG00000026655.1)". The record is from RNAcentral. Lineage: Eukaryota; Metazoa; Chordata; Mammalia; Carnivora; Mustelidae.
AGUGGAAAAGCCGUUUUUCCAACAGGUGUUCCGAAGAAUGGGAUUACUUACUGAGACGUGGGUCACUGGAAAUGCAUUUCAACAUGAAAAAAAAUCAGAGGUCCUUGAGAUUUUCCUGCCACCUCCAAGAACAAAGGUUAGCAAUCGCCACGAAUUUUCACCAGGAAAUAGAAAGGAAGUCAUCAGUUUAAACUGUGAAAAAUCCAAUGCCUAUCCAGAAAUAGUACCAGAAUCAGAUUGGAGUAUGAAGAAAAGUCCCAUAGACCUGAGGAAGAUUAAGGUGACAAUAGUUUGCUGGAAGUCCUGGAUUGGAAAGGAAGAGUUCAAGAGAACUCGGAGCAGCUCAGCAUCCAAAAAGUGA